CGGGCCCGAGCGGGGAGUGGGCGGUGGGUCGGUGCAGCAGCUCCGCCGCGGCUCCGCCACCAUCGCGGAGGUGCCGCUGUUCCCACAGACGCUCGCGAGCAAGCAACCCUCCGCGCUCUGGAGCCUCCUCAGCCUCCCGCACACCCCGAGACGCUCGCCCCGCUGGGCCUCGGUCCCCGCCUCCUCCCCCGUCCUUUUCCCCUCUCUCGCUCCCCACAUUGUCUCUGCCUCAUUUUCUCUCCUAGUUGAGGAUUAAAAAAAAAAAAAUCACCAUCAUCCUCAGGGAGCCCCCUCGCCCUCGGAAAACAAAACCAGACAUGAUCCUCGGCUCCUGCUUCUGAAAGAUCUGCCCGACCGAGGAGGAGGGAGCCUAGGUUCAAGUCGCGGGAAAGGUCACGGCAGGGAAGCCCCCUCAGCCCCUCCGCGUCGCCUCCCCGCGGGCCGCCCCUCUCGGCCCUGCGCCCCGCGGCCCCGCAGCCUCCGCGCGGCCUCCCGCCCCAUCCCCGCCACUUUCCCCGGAGCUGGGCCGCGAACACCUCUCUAUUGAUGGUGUAGCGCUUUAGGGGAAGGAGGUGAUUGUCUAGGAGUAACUGUAUGUGCGCUCAGCACCGGGUCACAACCACCGUGGGAUCCACUUACAGAGAAGAUUUGUGGAGAGCUUCAGCCUGUUUAUGGUGUUACUGAGAAAGGAAUUGUGGCCAUUUGAUAUAAUUCUGGAUGGAAG
RNAcentral lists this long non-coding RNA (724 nucleotides) under Pan troglodytes (chimpanzee). RNAcentral describes it as "long non-coding RNA NONPTRT000865". The record is from RNAcentral. Lineage: Eukaryota; Metazoa; Chordata; Mammalia; Primates; Hominidae.